RNAcentral lists this ribosomal RNA (446 nucleotides) under uncultured bacterium. RNAcentral describes it as "bacterial SSU rRNA". It matches the Rfam family "Bacterial small subunit ribosomal RNA", at positions 331 to 792 of the family's 1533-position model. The record is from RNAcentral.
CCAGACUCCUACGGGAGGCAGCAGUCGGGAAUAUUGCACAAUGGAGGAAACUCUGAUGCAGUGACACCGCGUAUAGGAAGAAGGCUUUCGGGUUGUAAACUUCUUUUGACGGGGAAGAGCAGAAGACGGUACCUGUCGAAUAAGCCACGGCUAACUACGUGCCAGCAGCCGCGGUAAUACGUAGGUGGCAAGCGUUGUCCGGAUUUACUGGGUGUAAAGGGCGUGUAGCCGGGCUGACAAGUCAGAUGUGAAAUCCGGGGGCUCAACCCCCGAACUGCAUUUGAAACUGUUGGUCUUGAGUAUCGGAGAGGCAGGCGGAAUUCCUAGUGUAGCGGUGAAAUGCGUAGAUAUUAGGAGGAACACCAGUGGCGAAGGCGGCCUGCUGGACGACAACUGACGGUGAGGCGCGAAAGCGUGGGGAGCAAACAGGAUUAGAUACCCCCGUA